RNAcentral lists this ribosomal RNA (439 nucleotides) under uncultured bacterium. RNAcentral describes it as "partial 16S ribosomal RNA". It matches the Rfam family "Bacterial small subunit ribosomal RNA", at positions 338 to 795 of the family's 1533-position model. The record is from RNAcentral.
CCUACGGGAGGCAGCAGUGGGGGAUAUUGCACAAUGGGCGAAAGCCUGAUGCAGCAACGCCGCGUGAGCGAAGAAGCCCUUCGGCGCGUAAAGCCCUGUCCUCAGGGAAGAUAAUGACGGUACUUGAGGAGGAAGCCCCGGCUAACUACGUGCCAGCAGCCGCGGUAAUACGUAGGGGGCUAGCGUUAUCCGGAAUUACUGGGCGAAAAGGGGGCGCAGGUGGCAUCUUAAGUCGGAGGUGAAAGGCUAGGGCUCAACCGGAGUAAGCCUUUGAAACUGGGAUACUUGAGUGCAGGAGAGGAAGGCGGAAUUCCUAGUGUAGCGGUGAAAUGCGUAGAUAUUAGGAGGAACACCAGUUGCGAAGGCGGCUCUCUGGACUGUAACUGACGCUGAGGCACGAAGGCGUGGGGAGCAAACAGGAUUAGAUACCCGAGUAGUC